This 313-nucleotide unclassified non-coding RNA is filed under the name Hevea brasiliensis (rubber tree). The record is from RNAcentral. Lineage: Eukaryota; Viridiplantae; Streptophyta; Magnoliopsida; Malpighiales; Euphorbiaceae.
GUUCUGGAUAUAGGAAUCUGAUGCCAAACCAAAUUUUAUGAAGUGACAAUGCUGCUGUUUCCCCUUGGAUAAAUUUCCAUGACUUAAACAAUGAAGGAUACGUGAAUCUAUCUGGUAUUAUUAGUCCUUCAGCUAUCAUUUCUUGAUGUAAAAGAAGCACGUCUUGAUGUAAGUUCUUGUUUGUGUAGCCAUUGCUGCUUUGCUUGUUUGUCAGUUUCAGCCAGAUUCAGUGUGCUCUAUCUUUGCUUCAAUACAAAAUAUCUAUUGCUAGAAUUUUACAAUUUUCUGCAAGAAACUAAUAAGUUUAGAUAGG